RNAcentral lists this ribosomal RNA (253 nucleotides) under uncultured bacterium. RNAcentral describes it as "partial 16S ribosomal RNA". It matches the Rfam family "Bacterial small subunit ribosomal RNA", at positions 524 to 776 of the family's 1533-position model. The record is from RNAcentral.
UACGAAGGGCGCUAGCGUUGUUCGGAAUCACUGGGCGUAAAGCGCACGUAGGCGGAUGUGUCAGUCAGGGGUGAAAUCCCGGGGCUCAACCUCGGAACUGCCUUUGAUACAGCACGUCUUGAGUCCGAUAGAGGUGGGUGGAAUUCCUAGUGUAGAGGUGAAAUUCGUAGAUAUUAGGAAGAACACCGGUGGCGAAGGCGGCCCACUGGAUCGGUACUGACGCUGAGGUGCGAAAGCGUGGGGAGCAAACAGG